GGGUUGUGAGGUUAAGCGACUAAGCGUACACGGUGGAUGCCCUGGCAGUCAGAGGCGAUGAAGGACGUGCUAAUCUGCGAAAAGCGCCGGCGAGGUGAUAUGAACCUUUGACCCGGCGAUGUCCGAAUGGGGAAACCCAGUGCAAUCCGUUGCACUAUCGUUAACUGAAUACAUAGGUUAACGAGGCGAACCGGGGGAACUGAAACAUCUAAGUACCCCGAGGAAAAGAAAUCAACCGAGAUUCCCCCAGUAGCGGCGAGCGAACGGGGAGCAGCCCGGAGUCUGAAUCAGCUUGUGUGUUAGUGGAACGGUCUGGAAAGUCCGACGGUACAGGGUGAUAGCCCCGUACACGAAAGCACACAUGCUGUGAACUCGAAGAGUAGGGCGGGACACGUGGUAUCCUGUCUGAAUAUGGGGGGACCAUCCUCCAAGGCUAAAUACUCCUGACUGACCGAUAGUGAACCAGUACCGUGAGGGAAAGGCGAAAAGAACCCCGGCGAGGGGAGUGAAAAAGAACCUGAAACCGUGUACGUACAAGCAGUGGGAGCCUCUUUAUGGGGUGACUGCGUACCUUUUGUAUAAUGGGUCAGCGACUUAUAUUCUGUAGCAAGGUUAACCGUAUAGGGGAGCCGAAGGGAAACCGAGUCUUAACUGGGCGUUAAGUUGCAGGGUAUAGACCCGAAACCCGGUGAUCUAGCCAUGGGCAGGUUGAAGGUUGGGUAACACUAACUGGAGGACCGAACCGACUAAUGUUGAAAAAUUAGCGGAUGACCUGUGGCUGGGGGUGAAAGGCCAAUCAAACCGGGAGAUAGCUGGUUCUCCCCGAAAGCUAUUUAGGUAGCGCCUCGUGAACUCAUCUUCGGGGGUAGAGCACUGUUUCGGCUAGGGGGCCAUCCCGGCUUACCAACCCGAUGCAAACUACGAAUACCGAAGAAUGUUAUCACGGGAGACACACGGCGGGUGCUAACGUCCGUCGUGAAGAGGGAAACAACCCAGACCGCCAGCUAAGGUCCCAAAGUCAUGGUUAAGUGGGAAACGAUGUGGGAAGGCACAGACAGCCAGGAUGUUGGCUUAGAAGCAGCCAUCAUUUAAAGAAAGCGUAAUAGCUCACUGGUCGAGUCGGCCUGCGCGGAAGAUGUAACGGGGCUAAACCAUGCACCGAAGCUGCGGCAGCGACACUAUGUGUUGUUGGGUAGGGGAGCGUUCUGUAAGCCGUUGAAGGUGUGCUGUGAGGCAUGCUGGAGGUAUCAGAAGUGCGAAUGCUGACAUAAGUAACGAUAAAGCGGGUGAAAAGCCCGCUCGCCGGAAGACCAAGGGUUCCUGUCCAACGUUAAUCGGGGCAGGGUGAGUCGACCCCUAAGGCGAGGCCGAAAGGCGUAGUCGAUGGGAAACAGGUUAAUAUUCCUGUACUUGGUGUUACUGCGAAGGGGGGACGGAGAAGGCUAUGUCAGCCGGGCGACGGUUGUCCCGGUUUAAGCAUGUAGGCGGAGGUUCCAGGUAAAUCCGGUACCUUGUUAACGCUGAGGUGUGAUGACGAGGCACUACGGUGCUGAAGUGAUAAAUGCCCUGCUUCCAGGAAAAGCCUCUAAGCAUCAGGUAACACGAAAUCGUACCCCAAACCGACACAGGUGGUCAGGUAGAGAAUACCAAGGCGCUUGAGAGAACUCGGGUGAAGGAACUAGGCAAAAUGGUGCCGUAACUUCGGGAGAAGGCACGCUGAUAUGUAGGUGAAGCCCCUGCGGGCGGAGCUGAAAUCAGUCGAAGAUACCAGCUGGCUGCAACUGUUUAUUAAAAACACAGCACUGUGCAAACACGAAAGUGGACGUAUACGGUGUGACGCCUGCCCGGUGCCGGAAGGUUAAUUGAUGGGGUUAGCGGCAACGCGAAGCUCUUGAUCGAAGCCCCGGUAAACGGCGGCCGUAACUAUAACGGUCCUAAGGUAGCGAAAUUCCUUGUCGGGUAAGUUCCGACCUGCACGAAUGGCGUAAUGAUGGCCAGGCUGUCUCCACCCGAGACUCAGUGAAAUUGAACUCGCUGUGAAGAUGCAGUGUACCCGCGGCAAGACGGAAAGACCCCGUGAACCUUUACUAUAGCUUGACACUGAACACUGGUCCUUGAUGUGUAGGAUAGGUGGGAGGCUUUGAAGCGUGGACGCCAGUCUGCGUGGAGCCAACCUUGAAAUACCACCCUUUAAUGGCUGGUGUUCUAACGUAGACCCGUAAUCCGGGUUGCGGACAGUGUCUGGUGGGUAGUUUGACUGGGGCGGUCUCCUCCCAAAGAGUAACGGAGGAGCACGAAGGUUGGCUAAUCCUGGUCGGACAUCAGGAGGUUAGUGCAAUGGCAUAAGCCAGCUUGACUGCGAGCGUGACGGCGCGAGCAGGUGCGAAAGCAGGUCAUAGUGAUCCGGUGGUUCUGAAUGGAAGGGCCAUCGCUCAACGGAUAAAAGGUACUCCGGGGAUAACAGGCUGAUACCGCCCAAGAGUUCAUAUCGACGGCGGUGUUUGGCACCUCGAUGUCGGCUCAUCACAUCCUGGGGCUGAAGUAGGUCCCAAGGGUAUGGCUGUUCGCCAUUUAAAGUGGUACGCGAGCUGGGUUUAGAACGUCGUGAGACAGUUCGGUCCCUAUCUGCCGUGGGCGCUGGAGAAUUGAGGGGGGCUGCUCCUAGUACGAGAGGACCGGAGUGGACGCAUCACUGGUGUUCGGGUUGUCAUGCCAAUGGCACUGCCCGGUAGCUAAAUGCGGAAGAGAUAAGUGCUGAAAGCAUCUAAGCACGAAACUUGCCCCGAGAUGAGUUCUCCCUGAGACCUUGAGUCUCCUGAAGGAACGUUGAAGACUACGACGUUGAUAGGUCGGGUGUGUAAGCGCAGCGAUGCGUUGAGCUAACCGAUACUAAUGAACCGUGAGGCUUAACCUUACAACGCCGAAGCUGUU
Molecule: ribosomal RNA, 2931 nt
Filed under: Enterobacter hormaechei
Lineage: Bacteria; Pseudomonadati; Pseudomonadota; Gammaproteobacteria; Enterobacterales; Enterobacteriaceae
Description: 23S ribosomal RNA
Rfam family: Bacterial large subunit ribosomal RNA
Source: RNAcentral